This 120-nucleotide transfer RNA is filed under the name Methylobacterium sp. PvR107. RNAcentral describes it as "tRNA-OTHER". It matches the Rfam family "tRNA". Rfam says of the family: Transfer RNA (tRNA) molecules are approximately 80 nucleotides in length. Lineage: Bacteria; Pseudomonadati; Pseudomonadota; Alphaproteobacteria; Hyphomicrobiales; Methylobacteriaceae. The record is from RNAcentral.
GCGAGGUAGCGCAGUGCUAGCGCAGCACCCUGGCGUCCCCUGCCCUAUCAAUGGCUUAGCCGUGCUCGCGUUCAAAUCAUAAUCCUUGUGUCGGGGGUUCAAAUCCCUCCCUCGCUACCA